UGGGGGAUAUUGUGCAAUGGGGGAAACCCUGACACAGCGACGCCGCGUGAGUGAAGAAGAUUUUCGGAUUGUAAAACUCUGUUGACGGGGAAGAAAAUGACUGUACCCGUUUAGAAAGCCACGGCUAACUACGUGCCAGCAGCCGCGGUAAUACGUAGGUGGCAAGCGUUGUCCGGAAUUACUGGGUGUAAAGGGAGUGUAGGCGGGCUUAUAAGCCAGAUGUGAAAUACCGAUGCUCAACGUCGGGGCUGCAUUUGGAACUGUGAGUCUUGAGUGAAGUAGGGGUAAGCAGAAUUCCUGGUGUAGCGGUAAAAUGCGUAGAUAUCAGGAGGAACACCGGCGGCGAAGGCGGCUUACUGGGCUUUUACUGACGCUGAGGCUCGAGAGCGUGGGGAGCAAACAGGAUUAGAUACCCUGGUAGUCCACGCCGUAAACGAUGAUUACUAGGUGUGGGGGGAUUAACCCCUUCCGCGCCGCAGCUAACGCAAUAAGUAAUCCACCUGGGGAGUACGACCGCAAGGUUGAAACUCAAAGGAAUUGACGGGGACCCGCACAAGCAGUGGAGUAUGUGGUUUAAUUCGAAGCAACGCGAAGAACCUUACCAGGACUUGACAUUGAUGGAAUCCUAAGAGAUUAGGAGUGCCUUCGGGAGCCAGAAAACAGGUGGUGCAUGGUUGUUGUCAGCUCGUGUCGUGAGAUGUUGGGUUAAGUCCCGCAACGAGCGCAACCCUUAUCAUUAGUUGCUACAUUAAGUUGAGCACUCUAAUGAGACUGCCGUUGAUAAAACGGAGGAAGGUGGGGAUGACGUCAAAUCAUCAUGCCCUUUAUGUCCUGGGCGACACACGUACUACAAUGGCGGUAACAACGAGCAGCGAAGCAGUGAUGCCAAGCGAAUCUCUAAAAAACCGUCUCAGUUCAGACUGCAGGCUGCAACUCGCCUGCACGAAGUUGGAAUUGCUAGUAAUCGCGAAUCAGCAUGUCGCGGUGAAUACGUUCCCGGGUCUUGUACACACCGCCCGUCAAACCAUGAGAGUUGGCAACACCCGAAGCCUGUUGCGUAACCUGAAAAGGAGCGCGCA
This 1079-nucleotide ribosomal RNA is filed under the name uncultured bacterium. RNAcentral describes it as "SSU rRNA". It matches the Rfam family "Bacterial small subunit ribosomal RNA", at positions 355 to 1454 of the family's 1533-position model. The record is from RNAcentral.